GGAGAGGGUAGGUUAGGUAAGUAGUGGGUAGGCAGGUAAGAUAGGAGAGGGUAGGUUAGGUAAGUAGUGGGUAGGCAGGUAAGAUAGGAGAGGGUAGGUUAGGUAAGUAGUGGGUAGGCAGGUAAGAUAGGAGAGGGUAGGUUAGGUAAGUAGUGGGUAGGCAGGUAAGAUAGGAGAGGGUAGGUUAGGUAAGUAGUGGGUAGGCAGGUAAGAUAGGAGAGGGUAGGUUAGGUAAGUAGUGGGUAGGCAGGUAAGAUAGGAGAGGGUAGGUUAGGUAAGUAGUGGGUAGGCAGGUAAGAUAGGAGAGGGUAGGUUAGGUAAGUAGUGGGUAGGCAGGUAAGAUAGGAGAGGGUAGGUUAGGUAAGUAGUGGGUAGGCAGGUAAGAUAGGAGAGGGUAGGUUAGGUAAGUAGUGGGUAGGCAGGUAAGAUAGGAGAGGGUAGGUUAGGUAAGUAGUGGGUAGGCAGGUUAGAUAGGAGAGGGUAGGUUAGGUAAGUAGUGGGUAGGCAGGUAAGAUAGGAUAGGAGAGGGUAGGUUAGGUAAGACCUACAGUUAGGUUAGGUAAGACCUACAGUCCAAGACCUCUUUACCUCCACCUACAGUCCCAGACCUCCACCUACAGUCCCAGACCUCUUUACCUCCACCUACAGUCCCAGACCUCUUUACCUCCACCUACAGUCCCAGACCUCUUUACCUCCACCUACAGUCCCAGA
Molecule: long non-coding RNA, 711 nt
Organism: Oncorhynchus keta (chum salmon)
Lineage: Eukaryota; Metazoa; Chordata; Actinopteri; Salmoniformes; Salmonidae
Exons: 4
Source: RefSeq, a predicted model, not a curated record